UGAGUAAGACAAAUGAUCGCGGCUGCGUUAAGCAGACGAGGAAAGUCCGAGCUCCAUAGGGCAGGGUGCUGGGUAAUACCCAGUGGAGGCGACUCCAAGGAAAGUGCAACAGAGAUAUACUGCGUGCCGGAAGUUGAAGGUAAUCUUCAAAAAUCCGGUGCGUGAUGGUGGAAAGGUGAGGUAAGAGCUCACCAGCAUCCAGGCGACUGGAAUGGCUAUGUAAACCCCACCUGGAGCAAGACCGAAUAGAGGACAUUGAAGCGGUUGCCCGCCGCGUCCUGGGAAAGGUCGCUUGAGCCUGUUGGCAACAACAGGCCUAGACAGAUGAUCAUUCUAGACAGAACUCGGCUUAUGGCUUAGCUCACUUU
Molecule: RNase P RNA, 368 nt
Filed under: Clostridiales bacterium
Lineage: Bacteria; Bacillati; Bacillota; Clostridia; Eubacteriales
Description: RNase P RNA component class A
Rfam family: Bacterial RNase P class A
About the family: Ribonuclease P (RNase P) is a ubiquitous endoribonuclease, found in archaea, bacteria and eukarya as well as chloroplasts and mitochondria.
Source: RNAcentral